RNAcentral lists this transfer RNA (60 nucleotides) under Microdiplogynium sp. XFX. Its description in RNAcentral is "tRNA-Pro". Lineage: Eukaryota; Metazoa; Arthropoda; Arachnida; Mesostigmata; Diplogyniidae. The record is from RNAcentral.
CAGAAAAUAUUAUAUGAAGUAUAAGGAUUUUGGGGAUCUUAGGAGAUUAUUCUUUUCUGA